Molecule: long non-coding RNA, 1765 nt
Filed under: Homo sapiens (human)
Lineage: Eukaryota; Metazoa; Chordata; Mammalia; Primates; Hominidae
Description: HSALNT0402420
Source: RNAcentral
CCGCCGCCUCCAUGUGCGAGCAGAGGAUGUGCUGCAGCUGCGUGUACUCCACCUCCGUCAUCUCCACCAGGCUCAGACCUAGAUCCAGACUGGAGUUCCAGCAGGCCCCAAAAGAGAAAGUGUGAGGUGUGGCCUACAAAUAUGUUUCCCUACGAAAACCUGCGGAAAAUGUGUGGAAAUCGAUGUUGAGAGUGCGGGAUCUGGGUGGGAGGAAUAUAAGCUUGCGUAGCUGACCCUAAAUUCAGUGAAAUCCAGAACUUUCCUGGCACACUGGAGAGGACGGCAGAACGCUGGGAUGGAUUUAUCGUGCAAGACCAGCUUGAUGUCCUUAGGGCUUGGAGGUCACCCCUUCACGAGGAUUCUGCCUCGGCCUCUGUGCUAGAACAGGGAGCUACAGCUCAGUGACCCUGUGGUGCCUUGUGGGCCUGUGGGUGCCAGGGCUCCGGGGCCUGGGCCUUUUCCUGCUUGGUGUGGCUGACCGGGACGCGGCCGACCCCAGGGGCAUACUGGAGCUAGGUCUUCCUCGCCAUGUUUCCACAGUGAGCCCUUUGGCUGCACAGGUCACGGUCUGGAGCUGUUGGAGGAGGCUGCUCAGAGCUGUUGCUGCCCCACCAGACACUUGGCCAAGGGGCCUGCACCGGUCUGCGCGGGAACGUCCCACCGGCGUCUGCUCAUGGCUGGGCUGUGGACCCAUACGCUUGUUCGGAAGCCAAGCUCUGGCCCACAGGCGACCAGAGGAAGCUCGCAGGCCAGGCGCCAGCUCCCCGAGCCUGUCCCUGCAGCCGCGCUGUGUGCAGGCACGUGGGCCACCGCGUCUCCUCCACUGGCACUGCUGGGUCUGGGCCGCCAAGCCCACCUGCCCACCUGCAUCCUCAGCAGCAGCACGCCCCGCAGUCGGCGGGUGCACACUCUGCUGCAGCCUGGAUGGGCUGGGGCCUCGGGGCUCACUCCCCAACCAUGAGACUCCUUCACCGCAGUUGAGGCUGUUGCAGUGGUCUCGGGCUCCCACUCAGCCCCAGGAGAGGGUCUGAAGGGGGUGAGUCCCUCCUCCCGACCUUCCUGCCCAUCGUCUCCAGAGCUGGAUGGUGCUGGGUCCCCACAGGGAGCGAGACAGCUGCCCCGUGACGGAAGGAUGUGGGGACCCGCACCCGGCCGGUCUCACCCUGGGCUCAGCAUGAGUUCAGGGAGGGGUCCAAAGGGCACUCCUGCCCACGCCCAGGCAAACCAGCAACAAGAAACUGGGUGGCCAGGGCGUCCGUGCACGACCCCAAACUUCUCCGCGUUAGAAAAAGGCUGAUGAAGACCCGAGACAGAAACUUCCUGUAGCUGUUUAUUCUACUGCGAGUAACAAAACCUAGGUCGUUCCAUGUUCUCAUGUACAGUGAUAUAAGCCUCCGCAAUAUAAAAUACAAUGUACAGGAAUCUCUAUCAAGUAAACUAAAGAAACACACUUGAUUUUUACAUUUGUGUAUUUAAAUUAGAAAAAUUUGCUUUAUAUGUUAAACAAACAAAACCUUCUCAUCGUACUAGAUGUUGGAACGUGACACCUACUUUAAUGUAAUUUAACCUAUGGACACUUGGCUUUCAACACCAAACAUCUCAAACUGAUACAUUCUCAAUGUUUUCUUAACUUAAAAAAUCUGUGCUAUAAAGUGAAAAAUCUGUAGUGACGUACAAUGGAAUAACAGACUCCAAAGAACAAGUGAAGUUCUUUAAUUUUACAUCUGUAAAAGUUUAUGAAAAUAUAAAAAAUUAUCAAAGUGUA